UGGGGAAUAUUGCACAAUGGGCGAAAGCCUGAUGCAGCAACGCCGCGUGCGGGAAGAAGGCCUUAGGGUUGUAAACCGCUUUCAGCAGGGAAGAAACUGACGGUACCUGCAGAAGAAGGUGCGGCCAACUACGUGCCAGCAGCCGCGGUGACACGUAGGCACCAAGCGUUGUCCGGAUUUAUUGGGCGUAAAGAGCUCGUAGGCGGUUCAGUAAGUCGGGUGUGAAAACUCUGGGCUCAACCCAGAGACGCCACCCGAUACUGCUGUGACUUGAGUACGGUAGGGGAGUGGGGAAUUCCUGGUGUAGCGGUGAAAUGCGCAGAUAUCAGGAGGAACACCAGUGGCGAAGGCGCCACUCUGGGCCGUAACUGACGCUGAGGAGCGAAAGCGUGGGUAGCAAAC
RNAcentral lists this ribosomal RNA (402 nucleotides) under uncultured bacterium. RNAcentral's name for it is "bacterial SSU rRNA". It matches the Rfam family "Bacterial small subunit ribosomal RNA", at positions 355 to 773 of the family's 1533-position model. The record is from RNAcentral.